CGCGGCCUAUCAGCUUGUUGGUGAGGUAAUGGCUUACCAAGGCUUGGACGGGUAGCUGGUCUGAGAGGACGAUCAGCCACACUGGGACUGAGACACGGCCCAGACUCCUACGGGAGGCAGCAGUAAGGAAUAUUGCGCAAUGGGCGAAAGCCUGACGCAGCAACGCCGCGUGCGGGAUGAAGGCCCUCGGGUUGUAAACCGCUUUCAGUAGGGAAGAAAAUGACGGUACCUACAGAAGAAGCCCCGGCCAACUACGUGCCAGCAGCCGCGGUAACACGUAGGGGGCGAGCGUUGUCCGGAUUUAUUGGGCGUAAAGAGCUCGUAGGCGGUUUCGUAAGUCGGAUGUGAAAACUCAGGGCUUAACCCUGAGCUUGCAGUGGGUACGGGCAGACUAGAGUGCGGUAGGGGAGACUGGAAUUCCUGGUGUAGCGGUGAAAUGCGCAGAUAUCAGGAGGAACACCGGUGGCGAAGGCGGGUCUCUGGGCCGUAACUGACGCUGAGGAGCGAAAGCAUGGGGAGCGAACAGGAUUAGAUACCCUGGUAGUCCAUGCCGUAAACGUUGGGCGCUAGGUGUGGGGCUCUUUCCACGAGUUCCGUGCCGCAGCUAACGCAUUAAGCGCCCCGCCUGGGGAGUACGGA
This 639-nucleotide ribosomal RNA is filed under the name uncultured bacterium. RNAcentral describes it as "bacterial SSU rRNA". It matches the Rfam family "Bacterial small subunit ribosomal RNA", at positions 232 to 886 of the family's 1533-position model. The record is from RNAcentral.